Molecule: ribosomal RNA, 370 nt
Filed under: uncultured organism
Description: bacterial SSU rRNA
Rfam family: Bacterial small subunit ribosomal RNA
Source: RNAcentral
CGUAGGUGGCUAAGCGUUGUCCGGAUUUAUUGGGGUCUAAAGGGUGCGUAGGCGGCCCUGUAAGUCAGUGGUGAAAUAUCUCAGCUUAACUGAGAGGGUGCCAUUGAUACUGCGGGGCUUGAGUACAGAUGAGGUAGGCGGAAUUGACGGUGUAGCGGUGAAAUGCAUAGAUAUCGUCAAGAACACCGAUAGCGAAGGCAGCUUACCAAGCUGUAACUGACGCUGAGGCACGAAAGUGUGGGGAUCAAACAGGAUUAGAUACCCUGGUAGUCCACACUGUAAACGUUGAUGACUCGAUGUUGGCGAUACACAGCCAGCGUCCAAGAGCAAUCGUUAAGUCAUCCACCUGGGGAGUACGCCGGCAACGGUG